CUGAGUUGCAGUUAGUGACUUUGUCCAGGCUGAAAUUAUGUCAUUAGUCAGCUGCAGGCAGGAAGAAGCAUUUCUUCAGUCUCCUCUCCUCCAGUG
This is a long non-coding RNA of Nanorana parkeri, 96 nucleotides long. RefSeq lists it as uncharacterized. The transcript has 3 exons. The record is from RefSeq and is a predicted model, not a curated record. NCBI's taxonomy places the organism in Eukaryota, Metazoa, Chordata, Amphibia, Anura, Dicroglossidae.